GAUGAACGCUGUCGGCGUGCCUAAUACAUGCAAGUCGAGCGAACGGACGAGAAGCUUGCUUCUCUGGUGUUAGCGGCGGACGGGUGAGUAACACGUGGAUAACCUACCUAUAAGACUGGGAUAACUUCGGGAAACCGGAGCUAAUACCGGAUGAUAUUUUGAACCGCAUGGUUCAAAAGUGAAAGACGGUCUUGCUGUCACUUAUAGAUGGAUCCGCGCUGCAUUAGCUAGUUGGUAAGGUAACGGCUUACCAAGGCAACGAUGCAUAGCCGACCUGAGAGGGUGAUCGGCCACACUGGAACUGAGACACGGUCCAGACUCCUACGGGAGGCAGCAGUAGGGAAUCUUCCGCAAUGGGCGAAAGCCUGACGGAGCAACGCCGCGUGAGUGAUGAAGGUCUUCGGAUCGUAAAACUCUGUUAUUAGGGAAGAACAUAUGUGUAAGUAACUGUGCACAUCUUGACGGUACCUAAUCAGAAAGCCACGGCUAACUACGUG
Molecule: ribosomal RNA, 497 nt
Filed under: uncultured bacterium
Lineage: Bacteria
Description: partial 16S ribosomal RNA
Rfam family: Bacterial small subunit ribosomal RNA
Source: RNAcentral